AAUUUUGGACAAUGGGGGCAACCCUGAUCCAGCCAUCCCGCGUGUCCGAUGAAGGCCUGCGGGUUGUAAAGCACUUUUGGCUGGGAAGAAAAGGUUCUGGCUAAUACCUGGAGCUGCUGACGGUACCUUCAGAAUAAGCACCGGCUAACUACGUGCCAGGAGCAGAGGUAAUACGUAGGGUGCAAGCGUUAAUCGGAAUUACUGGGCGUAAAGCGUGGGCAGGCGGUUCGGCAAGAAGGAUGUGAAAUCCCAGGGGUUAACCUUGGAACUGCAUUCUUAACUGCCGGGCUAGAGUAUGUCAGAGGGGGGUAGAAUUCCGCGUGUAGCAGUGAAAUGCGUAGAGAUGCGGAGGAAUACCGAUGGCGAAGGCAGCCCCCUGGGAUAAUACUGACGCUCAUGCACGAAAGCGUGGGGAGCAAAC
Molecule: ribosomal RNA, 421 nt
Filed under: uncultured bacterium
Lineage: Bacteria
Description: partial 16S ribosomal RNA
Rfam family: Bacterial small subunit ribosomal RNA
Source: RNAcentral